AGGGUUUGAUCAUGGCUCAGAACGAACGCUGGCGGCAGGCCUAACACAUGCAAGUCGAGCGGGGAGAUGUAGCUUGCUACAUUACCUAGCGGCGGACGGGUGAGUAAUGCUUAGGAAUCUGCCUAUUAGUGGGGGACAACAUUCCGAAAGGAAUGCUAAUACCGCAUACGCCCUACGGGGGAAAGCAGGGGAUCUUCGGACCUUGCGCUAAUAGAUGAGCCUAAGUCAGAUUAGCUAGUUGGUGGGGUAAAGGCCUACCAAGGCGACGAUCUGUAGCGGGUCUGAGAGGAUGAUCCGCCACACUGGGACUGAGACACGGCCCAGACUCCUACGGGAGGCAGCAGUGGGGAAUAUUGGACAAUGGGCGAAAGCCUGAUCCAGCCAUGCCGCGUGUGUGAAGAAGGCCUUUUGGUUGUAAAGCACUUUAAGCGAGGAGGAGGCUACUUAGAUUAAUACUCUAGGAUAGUGGACGUUACUCGCAGAAUAAGCACCGGCUAACUCUGUGCCAGCCGCCGCGGUAAUAC
RNAcentral lists this ribosomal RNA (524 nucleotides) under uncultured bacterium. Its description in RNAcentral is "bacterial SSU rRNA". It matches the Rfam family "Bacterial small subunit ribosomal RNA", at positions 8 to 526 of the family's 1533-position model. The record is from RNAcentral.